This 649-nucleotide ribosomal RNA is filed under the name uncultured bacterium. RNAcentral describes it as "bacterial SSU rRNA". The stretch from base 1 to 548 matches the Rfam family "Bacterial small subunit ribosomal RNA", at positions 338 to 873 of the family's 1533-position model. The record is from RNAcentral.
CCUACGGGAGGCAGCAGUGGGGAAUUUUGGACAAUGGGCGAAAGCCUGAUCCAGCAAUGCCGCGUGUGGGAAGAAGGCCUUCGGGUUGUAAACCACUUUUGUACGGAACGAAACGGCUCGCUUUAAUACAGUGGGCUAAUGACGGUACCGUAAGAAUAAGCACCGGCUAACUACGUGCCAGCAGCCGCGGUAAUACGUAGGGUGCGAGCGUUAAUCGGAAUUACUGGGCGUAAAGCGUGCGCAGGCGGUUAUAUAAGACAGUUGUGAAAUCCCCGGGCUCAACCUGGGAAUUGCAUCUGUGACUGUAUAGCUAGAGUACGGUAGAGGGGGAUGGAAUUCCGCGUGUAGCAGUGAAAUGCGUAGAUAUGCGGAGGAACACCGAUGGCGAAGGCAAUCCCCUGGACCUGUACUGACGCUCAUGCACGAAAGCGUGGGGAGCAAACAGGAUUAGAUACCCUGGUAGUCCACGCCCUAAACGAUGUCAACUGGUUGUUGGGUGNAUUAGUUACUCAGUAACGAAGACGUAACGACGUGAGUUAGUACGAGCCGUGGGGAGGGUACGGGCCGGCGAAGGUUAGUUAAACGUUAACUAAAUUAAGAAGUUAGACGGCGUUGAGAGNGCCGACGGACGACGACGAGGGAGGAGGAG